CAACUUUCAACAAUGGAUCUCUUGGCUCUUGCAUCGAUGAAGAACGCAAUGAAGUGCGAUAUGUAGUGUGAAUUGCAGAAUUCCGUGAAUCAUCGAAUCUUUGAACGCAUAUUGCACUCUCUGGUAUUCCGGAGAGUAUGCCUAUUGAGGGUCAUGUG
Molecule: ribosomal RNA, 158 nt
Filed under: uncultured Archaeospora
Lineage: Eukaryota; Fungi; Glomeromycota; Glomeromycetes; Archaeosporales; Archaeosporaceae
Description: 5.8S ribosomal RNA
Rfam family: 5.8S ribosomal RNA
About the family: 5.8S ribosomal RNA (5.8S rRNA) is a component of the large subunit of the eukaryotic ribosome.
Source: RNAcentral